UUUAUGUUUAUACUUUAUAUAGUCGAUGGAAAACAGUAGAAAACAGACAAGAAAACCCCCUGCCCUACAAGGUCCCAGAAAAAGAAAACUCACAACAAAUUAUGUUUUGAAAAAAAAAAUAUCAAGAAAGGAAAUAGACAUUAAAUAAAAAAUAAAGGUAAAAGGGCAAAAUAAUAAAAGCCAAGGAACAUGAAAAGGAUGCCAAAACUAGAAUCCUUU
Molecule: long non-coding RNA, 219 nt
Filed under: Linum usitatissimum (flax)
Lineage: Eukaryota; Viridiplantae; Streptophyta; Magnoliopsida; Malpighiales; Linaceae
Description: long non-coding RNA (LUSI_LNC002646)
Source: RNAcentral